UGGGGAAUAUUGGGCAAUGGGCGCAAGCCUGACCCAGCAACGCCGCGUGAAGGAAGAAGGCUUUCGGGUUGUAAACUUCUUUUGGCAGGGACGAAACAAAUGACGGUACCUGCAGAAUAAGCUCCGGCUAACUACGUGCCAGCAGCCGCGGUACUACGUAGGGAGCAAGCGUUAUCCGGAUUUACUGGGUGUAAAGGGCGCGUAGGCGGGUAUGCAAGUCAGAUGUGAAAUCUGAGGGCUCAACCCUCAAACUGCAUUUGCAACUGUAUUUCUUGAGUGAUGGAGAGGCAAGUGGAAUUCCUAGUGUAGCGGUGAAAUGCGUAGAUAUUAGGAGGAACACCAGUGGCGAAGGCGACUUGCUGGACAUUAACUGACGCUGAGGCGCGAAAGCGUGGGGAGCAAACA
Molecule: ribosomal RNA, 405 nt
Filed under: uncultured prokaryote
Description: bacterial SSU rRNA
Rfam family: Bacterial small subunit ribosomal RNA
Source: RNAcentral